GCAUUGGUGGUUCAAUGGUAGAAUUCUCGCCUCCCACUCGGGUGACCCGGGUUCGAUUCCCGGCCAAUGCA
Non-coding RNA from Mus musculus (house mouse), 71 nucleotides. Lineage: Eukaryota; Metazoa; Chordata; Mammalia; Rodentia; Muridae. The record is from Rfam.